UCACUCACCCUCACCCUCUCUUCUCCCACUACUGAUACAUUCUUGCUUUCCCUUAUAAACAUACUCUACAUAUUGUUCUUAAUCCUUAAUCUCAACAUACUGUUUUCUCUCUCUAAAUUACUGUUUUCUCUCUCUAAUUUUCUUUCUACAUAUUGUUUUCUAUCUACAUACAGUUUUCUCUCUCUAAAUUAUUGUUUUUCUCUCUACAUGCAGUUUUUUCUCUCUAAAUUAUUGUUUUUCUCUCUACAUGCAGUUUUUUCUCUCUACAUAUAAUUUUCUCUCUACAAACUGUUCUCUCUCUCUAAAUUAUUGGUCUCUCUAAAUUAC
This 327-nucleotide long non-coding RNA is filed under the name Amborella trichopoda. Its description in RNAcentral is "long non-coding RNA (ATRI_LNC002058)". Lineage: Eukaryota; Viridiplantae; Streptophyta; Magnoliopsida; Amborellales; Amborellaceae. The record is from RNAcentral.